AAGGAUAAUCUCUGAACAUGCCCAAUUGCAUCUGAUUUUGCAAGCCAAGCAGGGUCAGGCCUGGUUAGUACUUGGAGACCACCAAGGAAUAGCAGGUGUUGUUCUUG
This 107-nucleotide ribosomal RNA is filed under the name Pogona vitticeps (central bearded dragon). The record is from RNAcentral. Lineage: Eukaryota; Metazoa; Chordata; Lepidosauria; Squamata; Agamidae.